AGGAUGAACGCUGGCGGCGUGCCUAACACAUGCAAGUCGAACGUCCUGUCUCGCAAGAGGCAGGGAGUGGCGGACGGGUGAGUACCACGUGGGUCAUCUACCGUGAGGUGAGGAAUACCGGCGAGAAAUCGCCGACAAGACCGCAUAGCCUCGGUGCAAGCCGAGGAAAGCUUUCUCGAGAGAGGGAGCGCCACACGAGGAGCCUGCGCCCGAUUAGCUAGCUGGUGGAGUAACGGUUCACCAGGGCGACGAUCGGUAGCUGGUCUGAGAGGACGAUCAGCCACACUGGGAUUGAGAACGGCCCAGACUCCUACGGGGGGCAGCAGUGAGGAAUUUUCGUCAAUGGGGGCAACCCUGAACGAGCAACGCCGCGUGCAGGAAGAAGGUUUUCGGAUCGUAAACUGCUUUUCUCGGGGAAGAGAACGGACGGUACCCGAGGAAUCAGCCCCGGCUAACUACGUGCCAGCAGCCGCGGUAA
This 478-nucleotide ribosomal RNA is filed under the name uncultured bacterium. Its description in RNAcentral is "SSU rRNA". It matches the Rfam family "Bacterial small subunit ribosomal RNA", at positions 26 to 523 of the family's 1533-position model. The record is from RNAcentral.